GGGUGCUUAGCUCAGUUGGUAGAGCAGCUGACUCUUAAUCAGCGGGUCGUAGGUUCGAAUCCUACAGCACCCA
This 73-nucleotide transfer RNA is filed under the name Allostella humosa. RNAcentral describes it as "Stella humosa tRNA". It matches the Rfam family "tRNA". From Rfam's summary of the family: Transfer RNA (tRNA) molecules are approximately 80 nucleotides in length. Their secondary structure includes four short double-helical elements and three loops (D, anti-codon, and T loops). The record is from Rfam by way of RNAcentral. Lineage: Bacteria; Pseudomonadati; Pseudomonadota; Alphaproteobacteria; Rhodospirillales; Allostellaceae.